Molecule: ribosomal RNA, 390 nt
Filed under: uncultured bacterium
Lineage: Bacteria
Description: bacterial SSU rRNA
Rfam family: Bacterial small subunit ribosomal RNA
Source: RNAcentral
GACGAACGCUGACGGCGUGCUUAACACAUGCAAGUCGAGCGGUAAGGCCCUUUCGGGGGUACACGAGCGGCGAACGGGUGAGUAACACGUGGGUGACCUGCCCUUAGCUCUGGGAUAAGCCUGGGAAACUGGGUCUAAUACCGGAUAUGACUCCAUGACGCAUGUUGUGGGGUGGAAAGCCUUGUGCGGCUAGGGAUGGGCCCGCGGCCUAUCAGCUUGUUGGUGGGGUGAUGGCCUACCAAGGCGACGACGGGUAGCCGGCCUGAGAGGGCGACCGGCCACACUGGGACUGAGACACGGCCCAGACUCCUACGGGAGGCAGCAGUGGGGAAUCUUGCGCAAUGGGCGGAAAGCCUGACGCAGCGACGCCGCGUGAGGGAUGACGGCCUC